RNAcentral lists this ribosomal RNA (430 nucleotides) under Bacillota bacterium. Its description in RNAcentral is "Firmicutes bacterium partial 16S ribosomal RNA". It matches the Rfam family "Bacterial small subunit ribosomal RNA", at positions 355 to 776 of the family's 1533-position model. The record is from RNAcentral. Lineage: Bacteria; Bacillati; Bacillota.
UGGGGAAUAUUGGACAAUGGGCGAAAGCCUGAUCCAGCCAUGCCGCGUGUGUGAAGAAGGCCUUUUGGUUGUAAAGCACUUUAAGCGAGGAGGAGGCUACUUAGAUUAAUACUCUAGGAUAGUGGACGUUACUCGCAGAAUAAGCACCGGCUAACUCUGUGCCAGCAGCCGCGGUAAUACAGAGGGUGCGAGCGUUAAUCGGAUUUACUGGGCGUAAAGCGUGCGUAGGCGGCUUCUUAAGUCGGAUGUGAAAUCCCUGAGCUUAACUUAGGAAUUGCAUUCGAUACUGGGAAGCUAGAGUAUGGGAGAGGAUGGUAGAAUUCCAGGUGUAGCGGUGAAAUGCGUAGAGAACUGGAGGAAUACCGAUGGCGAAGGCAGCCAUCUGGCCUAAUACUGACGCUGAGGUACGAAAGCAUGGGGAGCAAACAGG